This is a long non-coding RNA of Drosophila yakuba, 937 nucleotides long. RefSeq lists it as uncharacterized. Lineage: Eukaryota; Metazoa; Arthropoda; Insecta; Diptera; Drosophilidae. The transcript is spliced from 2 exons. The record is from RefSeq and is a predicted model, not a curated record.
GACUUUAUAAAACCAAUUCUAGUUUUUUGCUCACUUAAAGCACUCUUGGCAUUUAUCAAGAUACUGAUACCUAAUUGACCAUCAUUUGAGAUACUUUGUUCUGUGUACUUAUAGAGUGAUUGAUUGGGCCAACUAAAGCUCGAUUAGCGGAGAACGAAACGCGCCUGGAUUCCAAACAGUCGAAUUCUUGGAAGAAGUCAGUUAGUGAGCAGCUAAUCGUGGCACGUUUUGAGUUUCGCAAACGCGUGCUAUGUAUGAUCUGCGUGUCGCCACAAAAUCUUCAGUAUCAACAAUUUUUUUUUGCAUUUUUCUUUGUUGUUUAUUGUCAAAAUGCAGAAUGUUGCGUAAGAAGCCUCUCGAGUUCCUUCUGGCCCGCAUUUUUUUCGGCUUAAAUGGGCACGUGUAAACGUCACACUUUGUUUUUUACCAUGGUUUUACGUAAUGGUAUUAUUGAACCGAAUUCGCUUAAGAGCUCGUGAAACCUGAAGAGGCGUUUUCAGUUGGGGAUAACCGUAUUAUGACGAAUUUUCAAGCACUUACCUGCGAAUUUCCUUGGCACAAAAGGGCAUUUAUUUGGGCGUUAAAUCAUUUAAAUUUUAAAUAGAAGCGCACUUAGCCGUUGAUUUAAAAUUACGUGUUUUAAUUACUUGGCAAUUGAUAAUUGUCUUAAUUGUAUUACGAAAGCUAUUGUAUAAUAGCAAUUAAAAUGGAAUAACCACUAUGACUGUUGCGAUAAGUCUAAUUUUUAUUACAUCAGCUUGUUCUGUAAUAGAAUAUUAAUGCAAAUUGACAGUGUUCAUAGUAGUUAAGUGAAAGUUAAAAAUAAAAUAUAAAUAUUUCCAUGACAUGAUUAUUUAAUGAAUACUUUCGAAGAAUUUUGAUUAUAAAAUUUGAUCUACGCAAAACAAAGACAUCUAAGCCAAUAAUAAUGCUACAA